GACGAACGCUGGCGGCGUGCUUAACACAUGCAAGUCGAACGGAAAGGCCCUGCUUUUGUGGGGUGCUCGAGUGGCGAACGGGUGAGUAACACGUGAGUAACCUGCCCUUGACUUUGGGAUAACUUCAGGAAACUGGGGCUAAUACCGGAUCGGAGCUCCUGCUGCAUGGUGGGGGUUGGAAAGUUUCGGCGGUUGGGGAUGGACUCGCGGCUUAUCAGCUUGUUGGUGGGGUAGUGGCUUACCAAGGCUUUGACGGGUAGCCGGCCUGAGAGGGUGACCGGCCACAUUGGGACUGAGAGACGGCCCAGACUCCUACGGGAGGCAGCAGUGGGGAAUAUUGCACAAUGGGCGGAAGCCUGAUGCAGCAACGCCGCGUGCGGGAUGACGGCCUUCGGGUUAUAAACCGCUUUCGCCUGUGACGAAGCGUGAGUGACGGUAAUGGGUAAAGAAGCACCGGCUAACUACGUG
RNAcentral lists this ribosomal RNA (468 nucleotides) under uncultured bacterium. RNAcentral describes it as "partial 16S ribosomal RNA". It matches the Rfam family "Bacterial small subunit ribosomal RNA", at positions 28 to 507 of the family's 1533-position model. The record is from RNAcentral.